RNAcentral lists this ribosomal RNA (790 nucleotides) under uncultured Staphylococcus sp. RNAcentral describes it as "bacterial SSU rRNA". It matches the Rfam family "Bacterial small subunit ribosomal RNA", at positions 129 to 905 of the family's 1533-position model. The record is from RNAcentral. Lineage: Bacteria; Bacillati; Bacillota; Bacilli; Caryophanales; Staphylococcaceae.
CCUAUAAGACUGGGAUAACUUCGGGAAACCGGAGCUAAUGCCGGAUAACAUUUGGAACCGCAUGGUUCUAAAGUAAAAGAUGGUUUUGCUAUCACUUAUAGAUGGACCCGCGCCGUAUUAGCUAGUUGGUAAGGUAACGGCUUACCAAGGCAACGAUACGUAGCCGACCUGAGAGGGUGAUCGGCCACACUGGAACUGAGACACGGUCCAGACUCCUACGGGAGGCAGCAAUAGGGAAUCUUCCGCAAUGGACGAAAGUCUGACGGAGCAACGCCGCGUGAGUGAUGAAGGUUUUCGGAUCGUAAAACUCUGUUAUUAGGGAAGAACAAAUGUGUAAGUAACUGUGCACAUCUUGACGGUACCUAAUCAGAAAGCCACGGCUAACUACGUGCCAGCAGCCGCGGUAAUACGUAGGUGGCAAGCGUUAUCCGGAAUUAUUGGGCGUAAAGCGCGCGUAGGCGGUUUCUUAAGUCUGAUGUGAAAGCCCACGGCUCAACCGUGGAGGGUCAUUGGAAACUGGGAAACUUGAGUACAGAAGAGGAAAGUGGAAUUCCAUGUGUAGCGGUGAAAUGCGCGGAGAUAUGGAGGAACACCAGUGGCGAAGGCGACUUUCUGGUCUGUAACUGACGCUGAUGUGCGAAAGCGUGGGGAUCAAACAGGAUUAGAUACCCUGGUAGUCCACGCCGUAAACGAUGAGUGCUAAGUGUUAGGGGGUUUCCGCCCCUUAGUGCUGCAGCUAACGCAUUAAGCACUCCGCCUGGGGAGUACGACCGCAAGGUUGAAACUCAGA